GAUCCUUACGACGCAUUUGUUUUCCGCCCGAAGGACGCCGCAACCGGUUGGGAGACGGCCUGAAAGUCGAGCGUCGGCAGGUGGCCGGUGGCGUGCCUCGUGCGCGUCGUCGGUGUCUAGCCAGCUCCUCAUACGGCUCGUAUCUCGACCGUGGUGUCGCGAAGCCCGCUCAUGGGCUUCACCGCCUCCUCUUGUAAAAAGAUGCGCACUGGACGCGGCAGUGGUUCUUCAGCAGCAGCAGGCGCACAGACUGACUCUGUGGCCAGCAGCCUGGAGUCCUCGUUGGCCGUGCGGGAUGCGUUGGAGGCCGGCGGUUAGCGGCGAGUAGAUCGGUCACCCAUCCGACCCGUCUUGAAACACGGACCAAGGAGUCUAACAUGUGUGCGAGUCAAUGGGACUCGAAUAAGCCCAGAGGCGCAAUGAAAGCAAAGGUCGGACUCGAUUCCGGCUGUGUUGGGAUCCCCGGGCCUACGAGCUCGGGGCGCACCAACGACCCGUCCUAUCCGAUUCAUCGGUUGGGCGGAGUCUGAGCAUAC
This 536-nucleotide ribosomal RNA is filed under the name Anelosimus studiosus. Its description in RNAcentral is "eukaryotic LSU rRNA". It matches the Rfam family "Eukaryotic large subunit ribosomal RNA", at positions 579 to 805 of the family's 3401-position model. The record is from RNAcentral. Lineage: Eukaryota; Metazoa; Arthropoda; Arachnida; Araneae; Theridiidae.